CAGAUUUUUCUUGCCAAAAUGGCAGUAUGGGCAUCAUGGGUGUAUCAAGGAAUUUCGUGGCCCAAAGUAAUUAUAGAUCCAGAUUUAUUAUUACAAAAAUAAUAAUGAAAAGAAAUUAAUUAAUAAAAGAAAAGGAUAAAUAAAAUUGGGAAGUUAGGGUUACUCUGUUGCGUCGUAUCAAAUCCUCUGAACUUCUUCCCCUUCACUCGCGAGCGGCGGCACGGUGAGCUUCGCUCUCCUCUCCGAUCGAAAAAUUACAGCACCGCCGUGAACCUCCUUGCUUCGAUCAUCACCUCUUCGUCUCUCAAUCCAACUCUCCAUCUCAGAUCCGUUACAUCUCGCCCCCGAUAAGCAAAAGGCUCAAUGAAGAUGGCAAGAAAUCCAGAGGCAAUACUUUGCUUCUUCUUCCUCUUUUACAUUCCGUAGAUCGUGACGUGUGUUGAUGAUAUUGUUUGUAUAUGAUUCGGCCAAAGUGAUGCUCGAAGCUAUCGCAAUGAAUGUUGAAGUUGUAAAUCGAAGAUGAUGAUGAUGAUGCAGAAGUGUUGUAGUGAUAAGGAUAUCGAUUCAAAGAAGCCAAAGGUUCACGGUUGAAUCUCGAUGCGGGGUUGAUGAUCCGGUUGCGAACAAAUGAAGACGAUUGGCGAACUGUGAUGCUUCUACGGAGUGAUUGAUGAAGAAUUUCGAUGAAGAUUCCGCAGUGAGUUUUCUUGUUACAAUCUUUUCCUUCCUAUAUUUCUCUGUCAAUCUCCUCUUUUCCGUUGAAUUUUGUUACGCUCCUUGUUGUGAUACAAAUGAAUCAAAUCACGGCUAAGAGGUGUCGAAGAUUGGAGAAUAUUGAAGAUUGAGAGGGGGAAGAAUUGAAGAUUUCUGAACUGUUAUUGAAUAGUUAUGGAGAGUGGAGAGGAAGAUUGAAGAUGGCUGAAGCUUGAGGAUUGAAUUGAAGAAGGUGAAGGAGAUGGAUGAAGUUGCAGAGAGUGAAGUGAAGAUGAUGUGGAGGUGGAGAUGAAUGGGGAAGAGCAAAAAUGGUGAAGGGAGAGUGAAAGUGAAGAGAGAGUUGAACUUUGAUGAAUGAUGAAGAUGGAAAUGGUGUGAAGUGGAGAGAGCUUGAAGAAUGAAUUGAAGAAGACCCUGAACAAUGGUGAAGCCCCUGUUAUAUAGAGUUGAAGGGUUGUUUUCGAUCUAGAACUGUGUAGCGGAUUCAUGUUGGUUAAAUCCGUUGUUUGAAUAGAGUAUUAGGUUGUAAGUCCAACUCCAAUCAUCAGGAGCGUCCCUCCGAGAACCAUGGUUUAGGCAGCACCUCAGAAGCCGCUACUGAAUUCAAAGGUUGACAGUCAAGAUCCAACUCUUAUGGCAAAGCGAAUUCUGAAUCACCAUUGAAUGUCUCAUAAAGGCCUUUGUGUAGCGUCCUCGAAAUAGAAUGAAUGCUCUAGCAUAUGUGUAUGCUGGUUUGAACUUGACAGUAUUUUGUUUAUAAUCUUGUUGAAGGAUCUUGACUUGAAGUGUGGAAUGGCUGCCAUCCUUUUUCUAUGCAGGGACCUAUUGUAUUGGUUGAAUGGUUUGAAGCUUUGAAGCAAACACACCAUUGAUGAAAGCUUAAAAUUAGGACAGUAGGCUAAGAGCAAAUUUUGUGGUUUGUCUUGUUGUAAAUGUAAUGUAAUGUAGUGUAAUGGUGUAUUUGGUACUGUACUGAUGUGAUGAUGAUGGCCUUGUAAUAACAUAACUCUUUUUUCAAAUAAAUGAAAUUAGAAUCCUUUCUUCC
This is a long non-coding RNA of Vicia villosa (hairy vetch), 1759 nucleotides long. RefSeq lists it as uncharacterized. The record is from RefSeq and is a predicted model, not a curated record. Lineage: Eukaryota; Viridiplantae; Streptophyta; Magnoliopsida; Fabales; Fabaceae. The transcript has 2 exons.